RNAcentral lists this ribosomal RNA (116 nucleotides) under Bacillus andreraoultii. Lineage: Bacteria; Bacillati; Bacillota; Bacilli; Caryophanales; Bacillaceae. The record is from RNAcentral.
CUUGGUGACGAUAGCGAGAAGGUUACACCUGUUCCCAUCCCGAACACAGAAGUUAAGCUUUUCAGCGCCGAUGGUAGUGAAGGCAUUGCCUUUGUGAGAGUAGGACGUCGCCAAGC